Molecule: ribosomal RNA, 497 nt
Filed under: uncultured bacterium
Lineage: Bacteria
Description: partial 16S ribosomal RNA
Rfam family: Bacterial small subunit ribosomal RNA
Source: RNAcentral
GAUGAACGCUGGCGGCGUGCCUAAUACAUGCAAGUCGAGCGAACAGACGAGGAGCUUGCUCCUCUGACGUUAGCGGCGGACGGGUGAGUAACACGUGGAUAACCUACCUCUAAGACUGGGAUAACUUCGGGAAACCGGAGCUAAUACCGGAUAAUAUAUUGAACCGCAUGGUUCAAUAGUGAAAGACGGUUUUGCUGUCACUUAUAGAUGGAUCCGCGCCGCAUUAGCUAGUUGGUAAGGUAACGGCUUACCAAGGCAACGAUGCGUAGCCGACCUGAGAGGGUGAUCGGCCACACUGGAACUGAGACGCGGUCCAGACUCCUACGGGAGGCAGCAGUAGGGAAUCUUCCGCAAUGGGCGAAAGCCUGACGGAGCAACGCCGCGUGAGUGAUGAAGGUCUUCGGAGCGUAAAACUCUGUUAUGAGGGAAGAACAAAUGUGUAAGUAACUAUGCACGUCUUGACGGUACCUAAUCAGAAAGCCACGGCUAACUACGUG